Molecule: non-coding RNA, 231 nt
Filed under: Bacillus sp. (in: firmicutes)
Lineage: Bacteria; Bacillati; Bacillota; Bacilli; Caryophanales; Bacillaceae
Description: Bacillus sp. T-box sequence
Rfam family: T-box leader
About the family: Uncharged tRNA acts as the effector for transcription antitermination of genes in the T-box leader family.
Source: RNAcentral
UUUGAUGCGAUAACAGGAUUUCAGUAGUUAGUUCGCCAAUGUUUAAGAGAGCCGGUGGGUGGUGUAAACCGGUACAAGCGAAAUGAUGAAUUACCUCCUCGAGCAGCAUUCGGGAAUGCUUUAUGUAAAGCUGUGUAGCGAAUGCCGGAACCUUUCCGUUAAAAGGAUAAGCGGCGAGACAGUUAUAUGUUUCGCAAGUUGGGUGGUACCGCGAUAGUAAUCGUCCCUUCA